Molecule: transfer RNA, 68 nt
Filed under: Osphronemus goramy (giant gourami)
Lineage: Eukaryota; Metazoa; Chordata; Actinopteri; Anabantiformes; Osphronemidae
Description: tRNA-Ser
Source: RNAcentral
GAGAGAGGCUCGCUAGCAAUGAAGACUGCUAAUCUUCCCCCCUUUGGUUAAACCCCAAAGCUCCCUCG